AAACGUAGUGGAAGGCCUGCAGAUUGUGUGAGUAGAGUAGCUACAUCAGUAUGAAGAGGAAGAGGUCGUCAGGUUAGACAUUGGAAACAUUUCGAAAAAACCUGGGCUUCGCCAAGUAGGAGUUGUUCCUGAAUAGAUUUCAGUGCAAGUCUAUAUCUCCCCACGCUAGAGGUGGCUGCGAUUCACUUGUAGUCUGCCAAGGAAUUUGUGGAAACAAGUCCUUGAACAGAAGUUGAGGCCUUUAAGGAAAGCAAAGCCCCUCACAACAUAUCAGGAAGUUUUAUGAAUUUAUGAUAGCAGGUGGAGUUUCGUCUUUCUUUUCUGGUGAAUCCCGUCGCCAUGGUCCGUUUAGUGAACAAAGAUGUUGGCUGCCAAUCGUUUGACCUGCGUUCGGAUCCCGGAGAAGGUAUAGAUGUUUGGAAGUUUAUAGUGCACCAGAAUUGCCCAAAAGGGCUAUUAAUUUCGUUUUGGCAUUUUGUACCGAUUCACUUUUGAAAUUGUUGAAAAUAAACUGAUCAUUUGA
Long non-coding RNA from Stegodyphus dumicola, 523 nucleotides. Lineage: Eukaryota; Metazoa; Arthropoda; Arachnida; Araneae; Eresidae. The record is from RefSeq and is a predicted model, not a curated record.